Molecule: ribosomal RNA, 253 nt
Filed under: Eubacterium oxidoreducens
Lineage: Bacteria; Bacillati; Bacillota; Clostridia; Eubacteriales; Eubacteriaceae
Also listed under: 1 other name
Description: partial 16S ribosomal RNA
Rfam family: Bacterial small subunit ribosomal RNA
Source: RNAcentral
UACGUAGGGGGCAAGCGUUAUCCGGAUUUACUGGGUGUAAAGGGAGCGCAGGCGGUCUGUCAAGUCUGAUGUGAAAUCCCGGGGCUCAACCCUGGAACUGCAUUGGAAACUGUCAGACUAGAGUGCCGGAGAGGUAAGUGGAAUUCCUAGUGUAGCGGUGAAAUGCGUAGAUAUUAGGAGGAACACCAGUGGCGAAGGCGGCUUACUGGACGGUAACUGACGCUGAGGCUCGAAAGCGUGGGGAGCAAACAGG